This is a long non-coding RNA of Suricata suricatta (meerkat), 727 nucleotides long. RefSeq lists it as uncharacterized. The record is from RefSeq and is a predicted model, not a curated record. NCBI's taxonomy places the organism in Eukaryota, Metazoa, Chordata, Mammalia, Carnivora, Herpestidae. The transcript has 3 exons.
CCAAUUUCCUAUGCUCAGUAGAAGAAAUAAGGACAAAGAAAAAAGAAAGCCCAGGUGAAAUCAAGGCUACUUUUCCUCCAGUGGAAUAAGGCUGGGAUCAUUCCUGAGGAAAAGGAAGCCUGGGCUCUAGAGAAAGAAGCAACCUAUUUUCAGCAGAUGAGGACACAAUACUGGGGCUGGAGAGAGAUGUUAAGACUCCAAUCACAGCGACACGAGUGGGCGCACCAGUCGCGGGCCGGAAGCGGGACUCCACAGAUCGCUUUAAGAAAACGGCAGACAAGCCAGACGUGGGGGAAAUCGCCAGCUUCCAUAGGCCAAGCUGAAGAAAACGGAGACGCAGGAGAAGAACAGCCUGCCGACCAAAGAGACCAUUGAGCAGGAGAAGCGGAGUGAAAUUUCCUCAGAACCUAAGGGAUUCCCCUCCCCCAUCAUCUUCGAGACACCCUAGUCGUGAUGUGGAGGAAGAAGCGCCACCUGCUAGAUGGACACGAGCGACAAGCCGCACUGUGAACUUGGGCACUCUGUGCCGACACCACUGGCCUGCCAAGUCUCUGAGGGGACCCCCCCCAAUCGGACUGCCAAAUUCUCCAGUUUGCCCUGGGAUAUUAUAGCAAAUUAUUUGUAUGAUUAAUGACAAUAAAACACACCUCGUGGCAAAAAAAAGCAAUAUAUGUAAAUAAAAACAAUAUCCCAUGGUAAAAAACAAAACAAGUUCCCCUUAUUAACA